This 329-nucleotide unclassified non-coding RNA is filed under the name soil metagenome. RNAcentral describes it as "partial contains 5.8S ribosomal RNA, internal transcribed spacer 2, and large subunit ribosomal RNA". The stretch from base 1 to 120 matches the Rfam family "5.8S ribosomal RNA", at positions 35 to 154 of the family's 154-position model. The record is from RNAcentral.
GAUGAAGAACGCAGCGAAAUGCGAUAAGUAGUGUGAAUUGCAGAAUUCAGUGAAUCAUCGAGUCUUUGAACGCACAUUGCGCCCCCUGGUAUUCCGGGGGGCAUGCCUGUCCGAGCGUCAUUACAACCCUCAAGCUCAGCUUGGUGUUGGGCCCCGCCGCCCCGGCGGGCCCUAAAGUCAGUGGCGGUGCCGUCCGGCUCCGAGCGUAGUAAUUCUUCUCGCUCUGGAGGUCCGGUCGUGUGCUCGCCAGCAACCCCCAAUUUUUUUCAGGUUGACCUCGGAUCAGGUAGGGAUACCCGCUGAACUUAAGCAUAUCAAUAAGCGGAGGA